UGUGUCCCACUAUUAUAAAAUAAUCAAGAAAUCCAAACAGUUCCAUUAAGAUAGAGUUGGGGAAAGGGGCAGGAGGAGGGGGAACAAUUUAGUUUACAUGUGUACAGGAUUUGAAAUGGAAACAUUAGCCCUCAGUGCUUAACUACUAAAUGCAUGAUAACUGCUAAAUACCUGAAGGUCCAGAAAAGCAGCUAGUGCCUACAAUUUAGCUUAUGGUUAUGCUACCAAUAUUACACCAGCUCUUUGAGAUUAGGAAGUAUGUCAUACUUUUCAUAUUCCCUUCCAUUCUUAGAACUGUGCAAGACAUUCAGAAUGACUGCAUAAACAGGUUGACUUAAUUAGGAAGGCUACUGUCCUUACGCCCCUUUAACACUCACACGUAAGACAAUAUUUGCUAGCAUGUUUUAGCAUCAUGGAAUGCGCUGAAAGGCUCUGAUUAAGGUAAAUACCAGUCAAGAUAGCACUUUAACCAUCUCUGGAAAGUAUUAUCUUAAUCCUAGGGAAAACAAUGUAAGGAAGAUGAUUCAAAAUACUUUCAUAAAAUUCAUUUUAAAAGCAAUUUUCCACACUUCACCAUUUAGACUUAAACACCAAAAACAAAUCUCACUUAAAUUACUAUAUUAAAAUUCUGGGUUUAAUAAAAAACUGAAAGGAAACUCAAUUUACUGUAAAAAUAAAUGGACCUGAAGUCCAAGACAAGUGAAGAUCAAGAUGCAGUACCCUUUAUCAGGAGGGGAUUACAAAGUUCUGGAGUCUGUGAACUUGGCAUUGAUCCUCCCCAAUGUUUUAAAUGGGAAAAUU
This is a long non-coding RNA of Pipistrellus kuhlii (Kuhl's pipistrelle), 801 nucleotides long. RefSeq lists it as uncharacterized. NCBI's taxonomy places the organism in Eukaryota, Metazoa, Chordata, Mammalia, Chiroptera, Vespertilionidae. The record is from RefSeq and is a predicted model, not a curated record. The transcript is spliced from 2 exons.